UUAAUAUACACAGUAACUUUUGUUCUUUUAAAGCAAAGAUUCGGGCCUCCUGGGCCCAGCUCAGGUCCUGGCUCAAAAAGUCCCUGGAACAGAGCCCUUGCUUUUGUCCCUGCCUCCCGGGUGAUUGAGGAGUAGAAAAGGAACCUACAUUCCUCAUCCUUGGUGUGAAUUUCCACGCUCCCCACCGGCCAACUGUGGCAAUUCACAUUGUAGUUCUGACAAUAAAUGGCCCGUUCUGACUGGGCUGGUGGGGGUCCUGGUCCAGCCACCUCCAGCCAGGGGUCCCUGGGUCGUGAAGGCGCCACGACCUGCUCCACUCAAGAUGUGCAGCUCCACCCACUCACGCUAGAGAGGAAGAAGAACUUCUGCCAUAAACUUUUGUUGUUAUUGUUUUGUUUGGUUUGGUUUGAGACGGGGUCUCGUUCUGUUGCUCCGCCUGGAGUGCAGUGGCCCCAUCACGGCUCACUGCAGCCUCGACCUCCUGGGCUCGAGUGAUUCUCAUGCUUCAGCCUCUGGAGGAGCUGGGGCCACAGGCACCCACCACCACACCUGGCUAAGUUUUUGUAUUUUUGUAGAAACAAGGUCUCGCUCUGUUGCCCAGGCUCGUCUCAAACUCCGCCCACCUCAGCCUCCCAAAGUGCUGGGAUUCCAGGUGCGAGCCACCGCACCCAGCCUCCUAAACUGUUUUUAAUUUGUGCAGAAUGAACCGGGUCAUCAACCACUGUAAGUGGUCUGACUACCCUGACCAUAAAGUGUCGGAAACACUCAACUUGCAACUGGUGGAAGCAGCCUAGCCCCACUGCACGUAAAACACUCGCGUUGUGGCAAACGCGGAGACCAAGGCUGCACUGGCCGGAAGUGGGGACAGAUCCCGAUACGCCCUGGGGACAGAGCAGGGAUGCUGAGGCCUGGUCCACACUGGCUCUGCCCUCUUUCUGGCCCACUACCCCAUCCUGAGACCGCAGGUUCCGGCGGACCCGGAUGCAGGUUUUCCGGAUGAAAGGCCCCUUUCCUGGAGUGGACUUUGAUAUUUUCUGUUCACAACUCCGUGUCACCAUCCUCCACACCUAGGAUCUGGCGUCUGGUGUCACUGCCGACGUCACAAUCCCCGCACCUACGUGUCUCAGCCGCAGUAGCCCUACGUCGCUGUCAGACACUGGGAGCCAAACUCCCUUCAUUCCAACUUCCACCAAAACCACUUCUCUGGAUCCAUCCCUGGAGUUGACACAACAGGGAUCUUCAGCCCCAGGUGCCAGGUUUCUCAGUGAUCCAUUACACAGAUUUAACAGGGAAAUGGGGGCAGUAUCAAAAACACCCAGUAUAAACCAUUGAAUUACCCCAGCCCUUGUCUCUGCCCAUGAACAACUGCCUGGGGCCAGAGAAUUAGGCAUCCCUGCUCUUCUUUCCCUCAGAAAGCCCUUGAGACGUUCUCCUUGAAGCUCCCCUAGGUGGGAGUAGAAGUUCAUCUCCUGACACUCCACGUUUUAUUCAUGAGUCCUGAGUUAUGACACAGAGGACACAGUUGUGCUCCCCUUACUAUGGACUAGCAGAUAAAGCACCUUAACCACUCAGCCACCAUGCAAACCCUUCUUAUAUUUGAUUCAAUAUACUUUUCCGCAAGCAAAAUAAAAGUUCUGACCAAGGAGGCGUCGUCUGAUUUGACUCUAGAACUUGGAAAUGCAUUGGCUUUUAGCAAAUCUCAGUACUGAAUGUAAACUUCAAGGAGAAAUGGUUCCAGGAAAUAAAUUGGGAUGACAUUGAACUUUUAGCAAACUGCAAAAUCCUGAAACCAUGGACUUACUGAGGCCAAUUAAAUGGGCUAAUUCAUGGGUGGAAGUGGUACAUCCUAAAAAUUCUCCACAAGUGAUUCUACACUGAAGCCAGGGUUUUUGUCAAGUACUGUGUGAGGAUGAGGAUGGCCAUCUGCUUGGCAAGCCAUCUG
RNAcentral lists this long non-coding RNA (1942 nucleotides) under Homo sapiens (human). RNAcentral's name for it is "HSALNT0344883". Lineage: Eukaryota; Metazoa; Chordata; Mammalia; Primates; Hominidae. The record is from RNAcentral.